This 57-nucleotide transfer RNA is filed under the name Klebsiella pneumoniae 909957. RNAcentral describes it as "tRNA-Arg". It matches the Rfam family "tRNA", at positions 8 to 61 of the family's 71-position model. From Rfam's summary of the family: Transfer RNA (tRNA) molecules are approximately 80 nucleotides in length. Their secondary structure includes four short double-helical elements and three loops (D, anti-codon, and T loops). The record is from RNAcentral. Lineage: Bacteria; Pseudomonadati; Pseudomonadota; Gammaproteobacteria; Enterobacterales; Enterobacteriaceae.
UAGCUCAGCUGGAUAGAGCAACGGCCUUCUAAGCCGUAGGUCACAGGUUCGAAUCCU